This 492-nucleotide ribosomal RNA is filed under the name uncultured bacterium. RNAcentral's name for it is "partial 16S ribosomal RNA". It matches the Rfam family "Bacterial small subunit ribosomal RNA", at positions 29 to 507 of the family's 1533-position model. The record is from RNAcentral.
AGUGAACGCUGGCGGUAGGCCUAACACAUGCGAGUCGAACGGCAGCACAGUAAGAGCUUGCUCUUACGGGUGGCGAGUGGCGGACGGGUGAGGGAUACAUCGGAAUCUACUUUUUCGUGGGGGAUAACGUAGGGAAACUUACGCUAAUACCGCAUACGACCUACGGGUGAAAGCAGGGGAUCUUCGGACCUUGCGCGAUUGAAUGAGCCGAUGUCGGAUUAGCUAGUUGGCGGGGUAAAGGCCCACCAAGGCGACGAUCCGUAGCUGGUCUGAGAGGAUGAUCAGCCACACUGGAACUGAGACACGGUCCAGACUCCUACGGGAGGCGGCAGUGGGGAAUAUUGGACAAUGGGCGCAAGCCUGAUUCAGCCAUACCGCGUGGGUGAAGAAGGCCUUCGGGUUGUAAAGCCCUUUUGUUGGGAAAGAAAAGCAGCAGGUUAAUACCCCGCUGUUCUGACGGUACCCAAAGAAUAAGCACCGGCUAACUUCGUG